GAUGAACGCUGGCGGCGUGCCUAAUACAUGCAAGUCGAGCGAACAGACGAGGAGCUUGCUCCUCUGACGUUAGCGGCUGACGGGUGAGUAACAAGUGGAUACCCAACCUAUAAGACUGGGAUAACUUCGGGAAACCGGAGCUAAUACCGGAUAACAUGUCGAACCGCAUGGUUCAACAGUGAUAGACGCUUUUGCUGUCACUUAUAGCUGGAUCCGCGUCGCAUUAGCUAGUUGGUAAGGUAACGGCUUACCAAGGCAACGAUGCGUAGCCGACCUGAGAGGGUGAUCGGCCACACUGGAACUGAGACACGGUCCAGACUCCUACGGGAGGCAGCAGUAGGGAAUAUUCCGCAAUGGGCGAAAGCCUGACGGAGCAACGCCGCGUGAGUGAAGAAGGUCUUCGGAUCGUAAAGCUCUGUUAUUAGGGAAGAACAAAUGUGUAAUUAACUAUGCACGUCUUGACGGUACCUAAUCAGAAAGCCACGGCUAACUACGUG
Molecule: ribosomal RNA, 497 nt
Filed under: uncultured bacterium
Lineage: Bacteria
Description: partial 16S ribosomal RNA
Rfam family: Bacterial small subunit ribosomal RNA
Source: RNAcentral